RNAcentral lists this transfer RNA (73 nucleotides) under Felis catus (domestic cat). It matches the Rfam family "tRNA". From Rfam's summary of the family: Transfer RNA (tRNA) molecules are approximately 80 nucleotides in length. Their secondary structure includes four short double-helical elements and three loops (D, anti-codon, and T loops). Further hydrogen bonds mediate the characteristic L-shaped molecular structure. tRNAs have two regions of fundamental functional importance: the anti-codon, which is responsible for specific mRNA codon recognition, and the 3' end, to which the tRNAs corresponding amino acid is attached (by aminoacyl-tRNA synthetases). tRNAs cope with the degeneracy of the genetic code in two manners: having more than one tRNA (with a specific anti-codon) for a particular amino acid; and 'wobble' base-pairing, i.e. permitting non-standard base-pairing at the 3rd anti-codon position. Lineage: Eukaryota; Metazoa; Chordata; Mammalia; Carnivora; Felidae. The record is from Rfam by way of RNAcentral. RNAcentral also lists the same sequence under 3 other names.
GCCUGGCUGGCUCAGUGAAAAGAGCAUGUGACUCUUGAUCUCAGGGUCAUGAGUUCAAGCCCCACGUUGGGUG